This 502-nucleotide ribosomal RNA is filed under the name uncultured bacterium. Its description in RNAcentral is "partial 16S ribosomal RNA". It matches the Rfam family "Bacterial small subunit ribosomal RNA", at positions 30 to 523 of the family's 1533-position model. The record is from RNAcentral.
AUUGAACGCUGGCGGUAUGCUUAACACAUGCAAGUCGAACGGCAGCACAGUAUGUAGCAAUACAUAUGGGUGGCGAGUGGCGGACGGGUGAGUAACGCGUAGGAAGCUACCCUAAAGCGGGGGACAAGCCGAGGAAACUCGGGCUAAUACCGCAUAAUCUCGAACGAGUAAAGCUGGGGCAACCUGGCAGGUUAGGAGUAGCCUGCGUGCGAUUAGCUAGUUGGUGAGGUAAAGGCUCACCAAGGUGAUGAUCGGUAGCGGGUCUGAGAGGAUGAUCAGCCACACUGGGACUGAGACACGGCCCAGACUCCUACGGGAGGCAGCAGUGGGGAAUAUUGGACAAUGGGGGCAACCCUGAUCCAGCAAUGCCGCGUGUGUGAAGAAGGCCUUAGGGUUGUAAAGCACUUUAGUUGGGGAAGAAGGAUAGUUGUUUAAGAGAUGAUUAUUUUGACGGUACCCAAAGAAUAAGCACCGGCUAACUCUGUGCCAGCCGCCGCCGUAA